UUGUUUUUCUUGCUGAAAAAG
Non-coding RNA from Caenorhabditis elegans, 21 nucleotides. The record is from Ensembl. Lineage: Eukaryota; Metazoa; Nematoda; Chromadorea; Rhabditida; Rhabditidae.